CCUACGGGAGGCAGCAGUGGGGAAUAUUGCACAAUGGGGGAAACCCUGAUGCAGCGACGCCGCGUGAGUGAAGAAGUAUUUCGGUAUGUAAAGCUCUCUCAGCAGGGAAGAAAAUGACUAUGCCUGAAUAAGAAGCCCCGGAUAACUAAGUGCCAGCAGCCGCGGUAAUACGUAGGUGGCCAGCUUUAUCCGGAUUUACUGUGUGUAAAGGGAGAGUAGACAGCAGCACAAGUCUGGAGUGAAAUGCCGGGGCUGAACCCCGGAACUGCGUUGGAAACUGUGCAGCUAGAGUGCAGGAGAGGUAAGUGGAAUUCCUAGUGUAGCGGUGAAAUGCGUAGAUAUUAGGAGGAACACUAGUGGCGAAGGCGGCUUACUGGACUGUAACUGACGUUGAGGCUCGAAAGCGUGGGGAGCAAACAGGAUUAGAUACCCCGGUAGUC
Molecule: ribosomal RNA, 440 nt
Filed under: uncultured bacterium
Lineage: Bacteria
Description: partial 16S ribosomal RNA
Rfam family: Bacterial small subunit ribosomal RNA
Source: RNAcentral